This 1121-nucleotide long non-coding RNA is filed under the name Vulpes vulpes (red fox). Its description in RNAcentral is "lncRNA (ENSVVUG00000004709.1)". Lineage: Eukaryota; Metazoa; Chordata; Mammalia; Carnivora; Canidae. The record is from RNAcentral.
CAUUAUCUGGUACAGGCCAAGGUGCGCAUUCACCUCCAGCUGGUGAUUCUACUCCUAGGUAUCGAUGCCCUGGAAGAAUCUGUGCCUUGGAGAACAGUGUUGGUGGGAACAGCGGUGCAAUAGGCAGAGGGAAUGUUGUGACCGUCCGCUCCGAGCUACUGUGGUGGUUUCUGCUGUGGGCCUGUGACAGAUCAUGUGACAGUCACAGGAUGCGGCCAUCAGCAGCCAUGAACCUCACACACGUAAGAUCGAGUGAGAAAAGGAAGUGUGCAAGUCCCGGACAGUGGUUCCCUGUAGGAGGGAGGGCACACGGCGUACCCAGCCACUGCUGCUACUUCGCAUGUCGCAUUCUGAGAUUCUGAAUGGAGGUGAAUUUUGGGAGGAUGCCAGUCAACCCACUACACGUUUGUCCUGUGUUUCAUUGUUUAUAAGAUGCUUGUGCUUCCCAGCACACCUGCAAGUUUCUCAGAUGGCUUUCCUGGGAAACACCAUCAGACAGAGGCCCCAGCGGGUCCCGUGUCUGACUCUGAAACCGCAGCACCCGGCCGCAGGCCGGGCACACAGUGGGCCUCAUCACUUGUCAGCUUACCAGCCUCCUGGCCUUCCCAGACUCUCACGUGGGGCCCAAGCAGAAGCGCAGCAAGCACGAGGCCAACAGAGGCGUGACCGCACGCAUGCUCUACCGCUGGUCCUCGGAGAAAAGCUUGGUCUUCCCUGGGUGUGGAAUACCUUCCCCUGCUUCCCACAAGGGCCCCCUUGGUGGGAAAGGACAGCGGCUGGGAGAUGUGCGGGCCGCUGGGACUGGGGAGGGGCCUCCCUCCUCCCCAUGAGGCCUGGAAAGGGCAGGGGCGCAUGCUGAUGGCCUGAACCUCGGUUCCCCAGGAAGGGCUGGUGGGACUCUAGAGAAAUCCAGAUGCUUUCUCCUCUGUCUGUAUCCAAAAUGUUUUCUAGUGGGACUCCUGGGUGGCUCAGGGGUUGAGCAUCUGUCUUCAGCUCAGGGCAUGAUCCUGGAGUCCCAGGAUCGAGUCCCACAUCGGGCUCCCUGCAUGGAGCCUGCUUCUCCCUCUGCCUGGGUCUCUGCCUCUCUCUCUCUCUCUCUCUCUCUCUCUGUCUUUCAUGAA